Molecule: non-coding RNA, 240 nt
Organism: Pelobates cultripes (western spadefoot toad)
Lineage: Eukaryota; Metazoa; Chordata; Amphibia; Anura; Pelobatidae
Source: the annotation of a GenBank genome assembly
AUUUCAUUCCUGGGCUACUAUAAAGUCCCAAAGGCAGCGUAACCAAUCUGGCGAAUUUCAAUUUCAAAUGUAACGUGCUAUAUUUGACCCUGUAACUUCCCAAAACGCCAUAAAACCUGUACAUAGGGGGUACUGUUUUACACAUGAGACUUUGCUGAAUACAAAUAUGUGUAUUUUAUUGCAGUAAAAGCAAACCGUAUUAUGACAUUGACAGUUAAAAUGUCAUGUAGAACUAAAAAA